CGUGGGGAACCUGCCCCAUAGUCUGGGAUACCACUUGGAAACAGGUGCUAAUACCGGAUAAGAAAGCAGAUCGCAUGAUCAGCUUUUAAAAGGCGGCGUAAGCUGUCGCUAUGGGAUGGCCCCGCGGUGCAUUAGCUAGUUGGUAAGGUAAAGGCUUACCAAGGCGAUGAUGCAUAGCCGAGUUGAGAGACUGAUCGGCCACAUUGGGACUGAGACACGGCCCAAACUCCUACGGGAGGGCAGCAGAC
RNAcentral lists this ribosomal RNA (248 nucleotides) under uncultured Lactobacillus sp. Its description in RNAcentral is "partial 16S ribosomal RNA". It matches the Rfam family "Bacterial small subunit ribosomal RNA", at positions 116 to 357 of the family's 1533-position model. The record is from RNAcentral. Lineage: Bacteria; Bacillati; Bacillota; Bacilli; Lactobacillales; Lactobacillaceae.